Long non-coding RNA from Acanthopagrus latus (yellowfin seabream), 399 nucleotides. RefSeq lists it as uncharacterized. Lineage: Eukaryota; Metazoa; Chordata; Actinopteri; Spariformes; Sparidae. The record is from RefSeq and is a predicted model, not a curated record. The transcript has 3 exons.
CUCGCCUUCAAAGAGCAGGAGACCCAAGAGCAGCCUGAAAACUGGCAACCCUCUCUGAUCCCUUUUCUACAGUCUAAACCGGCUUAUUCAGCAACAGCUGAGCAUCCGGUGGGAGGCUUAUUUAGAGUGGAGAGCUCUGAGAAACUGGAGGCACUUCCACGUGACAGAAGAAGAUACACAAGGUCUUCAUUCUGCAGAUCAUUUCCAUCCUCAUGCGUACAGCUUCACUACAUGGCAUGAUUCAUUCCUGGCACCCAAAAUGAACUCGGGCAUGACCUGACAAUCCAGCCCAAUCAGCGAGCCGGACAACUGGGAAUACUCCUAAAAGCUGGCCCAGGUGUGAUUGUAGGCAGUUUAUUUGAAUACAGGUUCCUUUUUUUUUUUUUUUUUUUUGCAAAU